UACUUUUAAAAUAAGUCAAAACUUUCAACAACGGAUCUCUUGGUUCUGGCAUCGAUGAAGAACGCAGCGAAAUGCGAUAAGUAAUGUGAAUUGCAGAAUUCAGUGAAUCAUCGAAUCUUUGAACGCACAUUGCGCCCAUUAGUACUCUAGUGGGCAUGCCUGUUCGAGCGUCAUUACGACCCUUAAGCCUAGCUUAGUAUUGGGAACCUACGUGCGGCAGCUACCCUGUAGCUACCCUGUAGCUCCUUAAAGACAACGGCGGAGACGUGGAGUCCUCUGAGCUUAGUAAACUUUUUCUAGCUUCUGAAGGCGCCGCGGCCCCUGCCGUAAAACCCCCCAACUCUUUAGUGGUUGACCUCGGAUCAGGUAGGAAUACCCGCUGAACUUAAGCAUAUCAAUAAGCGGAGGAAAAGAAACCAACAGGGAUUGCCUUAGUAACGGCGAGUGAAGCGGCAACAGCUCAAAUUUGAAAGCUGGCCUUCGGGUCCGCGUUGUAAUUUGUAGAGGAUGCUUUUGGUUAGGUGCCUUACGAGUUCCCUGGAACGGGACGCCUUAGAGGGUGAGAGCCCCGUACGUUUGGUUACCGAGCCUCUGUAAAGCUCCUUCGACGAGUCGAGUAGUUUGGGAAUGCUGCUCUAAAUGGGAGGUAAAUUUCUUCUAAAGCUAAAUACCGGCCAGAGACCGAUAGCGCACAAGUAGAGUGAUCGAAAGAUGAAAAGCACUUUGAAAAGAGGGUUAAAUAGCACGUGAAAUUGUUGAAAGGGAAGCGUUUAUGACCAGACUUUUUCCUGGCGGAUCAUCCGGUGUUCUCACCGGUGCACUUCGCCA
This 828-nucleotide ribosomal RNA is filed under the name Sordariomycetes sp. Its description in RNAcentral is "eukaryotic LSU rRNA". The stretch from base 353 to 828 matches the Rfam family "Eukaryotic large subunit ribosomal RNA", at positions 1 to 482 of the family's 3401-position model. The record is from RNAcentral. Lineage: Eukaryota; Fungi; Ascomycota; Sordariomycetes.